Molecule: ribosomal RNA, 470 nt
Filed under: uncultured bacterium
Lineage: Bacteria
Description: partial 16S ribosomal RNA
Rfam family: Bacterial small subunit ribosomal RNA
Source: RNAcentral
GACGAACGCUGGCGGCGUGCUUAACACAUGCAAGUCGAACGGUGAACGAGGGAGCUUGCUCCCUCCGGAUCAGUGGCGAACGGGUGAGUAACACGUGAGCAAUCUGCCCCGAACUCUGGGAUAAGCGUUGGAAACGACGUCUAAUACCGGAUACGACGCGGGAGGGCAUCCUCUCCGCGUGGAAAGAACUUCGGUUCGGGAUGAGCUCGCGGCCUAUCAGCUUAUUGGUGAGGUAACGGCUCACCAAGGCGACGACGGGUAGCCGGCCUGAGAGGGUGACCGGCCACACUGGGACUGAGACACGGCCCAGACUCCUACGGGAGGCAGCAGUGGGGAAUAUUGCACAAUGGGCGCAAGCCUGAUGCAGCAACGCCGCGUGAGGGACGACGGCCUUCGGGUUGUAAACCUCUUUUAGCAGGGAAGAAGCGAAAGUGACGGUACCUGCAGAAAAAGCACCGGCUAACUACGUG